AUGUGCCCUUCCCCCACCCACAUUGUCCACUUUAGCUUACAGGGCACCACAGGGGGCCUUCCGGUUAACAUUUCCAGAAACGCUUUCUGUCUGCUUUCUAGGUGGAUACUGACAGGAGCCCAGCUGGGAGGCCGUCCUGCAGGGCUGGCGAGCUCUGGCACUCCCGGACCCAGAACCGACUUGGUCCCUUACAGCCAUGGUGGCUGUACUAACCACACUCGACUCCACCUUUGCACUAUGAAAAGCAAACAAGCAGACCGAAGAACUGUUUGCAUUUGCCCCAGAUGCUCCCUGGCUGCAGGAAGAGAUAAAGUUUGCUGACCCUGGAGAGGAAGUCCUGACCCAUGGCUGGCAGAUGGAAGCCUCAGACAUGAAGAUUUCUCAAAGGCACCUGCUGCUGAGAGUGAUUAAUAUACUUUUGCAGCUGAAGCCUGAUGAUGGCUGGAGGAUAAAGGACAUCACCCAGAUGACAUUUUGCCUCCAAAGGUCUGGGGACCAACUGUGGAAGAACUGCAGGGAUAUGAUGUUAGCAUGUUCUUGUAUCUGGACAGGAUGAGAACUGUCUUAUAACGUAAGUGCAGCCCCCGCAUCUGAGGGCAUGUUUCCUGUGUGUUUAGGCACUUCUAAAGCAGGGAGCACCUUCAUGGGCACUGGCCUUCCCAGAAACAGUGUUGGACCUGUGUUGAUGUCCUGGAGGGUGGGGACCUAGAAAAAGUCCUUAGCCUUCCUGUAAGGCACAAUUCUUCUCCCCUGCAGAGCCUUAAAUCCUCAAGCCAAGUAGUAAGCACUCUGCUCCAGUCUGUGGCUUCAGACACACACAAGACCUGGAGCAAAAUCAAAUAGAAUGUAUCACCACCACUGAGCCCCAGGACCCCCCAGAUGCUUCUGAACAUCAGAGGAGAAGCAGCUCUCGGAGAUCAGGGUGAAUGCAGUGUUAGGGUGCGGCAUUGCCUCUGGGUCCCUGCUUUGGUUUAAUUAAACUAAGUUUGGUGGUAAAUUGGUUCCCAAAUGUUCAUUGGUGGAUGGGCGGCAUCGGAAUUGUCUGAUCAUCUUUUGAAAAACACAUAUGCAAAACUCAUACGCAUGCAUGUCUUCCUCUGAGAGUUUGAUUUUCAGCAGACUUGGGGUGGAUUCCUACUUUUAAGAACUCCUCAUGCCCAUCCUAAGUGAUUGUGACUCCCAGAAAGUGAACGCUGACAAAUUGAACCUGACAUUUACUUAUGAAAUAAAUGGAUGUUUAUUUCACAGUCUUUCUAUGGACUCAAGAUGGUACUGAAUCCAUGGGCUCACCUGCCCCCCCAGCUUUCUGUGCAGAAUCUGCCAAUGUGCCUUAAAUCCUAAAAGCAGUCGCUUAUCAUGUGCCACUGGAGCUCUUGAUUGGCUGUGACUGAGAUGGGACUUUAAAUUCUCACCAGGAUGCGGCUGUACUGACUUCUGAACCCUGCUGAUCUGUCCUCAACCACGGGCUUGGUUUUCUUCUGAAGAGCAGUGUUUUUAAAACUGUGGUUGAAAUCUAUUCUUGGGCUAUAAAAUCAGUUGUUGAGGAUGCAAUCAUUUUGAAUUAAUUUUUAAUUCAAAAAAUUAAAUAGACGAAAAUUUUAAUUUUUAAUUGAAAAAUAGACUAGAAAAAAAUCAGAGUGCAUCACGUACAGUAGGGCUAAGUAGUCCUUUCUGUAAAGCUGGUUUUGAAGGGUGUGCUGUGCAUUGGGCUGUGUGUUUGUACCGUGUUUCACAGUGAAACUGCUGUCACCUCUGCAGUACAGUGUAAAUCAACAAAGGGCCAGGCUUACUUAAGGCAGCUGCCAUCUCUGCUUGCAGAGGACAGACGGAAAAAUCACCAGGGAGGGUAGACUGCUACAUGCAAGUACUUGAGGGAGGCUACCUGGAAACUCAUAGAAAACCAGUUUGUGGAUGAUUGCAGAGCCUGAGUGGAGAGAUCAGUCUCGGACAGUUUUAUGGAUGGCAGCCCAGAGUCCGCCACACACAGCCCACCGCACCUGUCACCUGGGAAUAAGCAGGGUCUCUUUGGAACUGACUCUGGCCAGGAUUUGGUUUCCCUUUCCUUGAAAUGGGGAUAAUCACCCUCUUGACUAUUGCUGUUAUGAGGAAGGCCAAAUUAGGGGAAAAGAAUUCUGUCUUAUAAAGGAUGAACCACAAAGCUCAGGCUAGUAAUGGCCUCUCUUGGUGGUUUGGGAUGUGUGCUUUUAUAGGCAGUAAGGGAGAAAGAGAAAUUCUGCACUCAAAUCAAGUCUAGGCAAUGUAGGAGCUGGAAAGAGGUGUAUGGGAGCACAGACCCAGUCACCUGAAGGCAAGGAGCCUUUCUUCUUCCCCUUCUUGGCAGGCAACGUGGGCUCCCGGGCCCCAAGCAGGAUCCCUGAGGGCCAAUCUCUUAUCACACACUGAUCUGACUCAGUGACCUAGAAGAGGAUAGUCAGAGCCAAUGGGUUGAGGGGACAGGCUUGGAGAGCAUCUACUGUGUGCCUCUUUCGGGUAACUGGAAAUGUCUCCUGCCACUUUGUGAGGGGCUGGGCGCUGGGGAGUGGGAGCAGCAGGGGAGCACAGGGUGAUAGACUGUUCCCAGGGCUGUUGAUUUUGGAGCAGUCUAGGUGCCUUCUCUUCUUAGUGGGAAAGGAAGAAAAGGAGGGAAGGGAUGCUUUUCGAGGGGAACUCAAAAGCGUGGAGAAAAGAAUGCCCUAAAGAGCACCACCAAAGGACCUGAAGUGAAAGAUUCCAAUGAACAAAAUGUCCCCUAAUUCAAACAGUGCCACUAGCGACAAAACCUGUGAAGCUGUCCAGAGAGGCUCUGGCCAUGUCUGUCACUUCCCUUUUUACAGCUCUCACGAAGUUAGUGAAUGAAAAAGAUGAAGAUUAAUAAAAACAAAAGCAUGCUUCACGUUGCAGGCUGACCACGUCUCAUCCUCCAGUGACCCUGUGGCUGUCUCUGUAACGUCCUUUGGCAAUAGCAUGCUUUGAGAAGCUGUGGGGAAGGCUGGCCAGGGAGGGGACCCCACCCCUCAUUCUGCCAGCUGAUGCCCCAGAGGGCUGCAGGGCUCCUGCUUUACCCAGAGCUCUGGAGUGGCUGAGGCUGGGCCCUGGGGGUGGAUGGUUCUCGCUGAGAGGCAGGGGACAUCUGCUCAGUGCUAAGCUCCAAGGCAGACCACAGAGCAGAUAAGGACUAGUUGAAC
Callithrix jacchus (white-tufted-ear marmoset) is the source of this 3185-nucleotide long non-coding RNA. NCBI's taxonomy places the organism in Eukaryota, Metazoa, Chordata, Mammalia, Primates, Cebidae. The record is from Ensembl.